CUCCCGGUGAUCCUGCCGGACCCGACUGCUAUCAGAGUGAGAUUAAGCCAUGCGAGUUAACGUAGCAAUACGUGGCGCACGGCUCAGUAACACGUAGUCAACAUGCCCAGAGGACGUGGAUAACCUCGGGAAACUGAGUCUAAACCGCGAUAAGUGAGGAUUUCUGGAAUGGUUCCUGACUAAAAUCUAUAUGGCCUUUGGAUUGGACUGCGUCCGAUCAGGCUGUUGGUGAGGUAAUGGCCCACCAAACCUGUAACCGGUACGGGCUCUGAGAGGAGGAGCCCGGAGAUGGGUACUGAGAAAAGGACCCAGGCCCUAUGGGGCGCAGCAGGCGCGAAACCUCUGCAAUAGGCGAAAGCCUGACAGGGUUACUCUGAGUGACUUUCGCUAAGAAAGUCUUUUGACAUCUCUAAAAAUGGUGUAGAAUAAGGGGUGGGCAAGUCUGGUGUCAGCCGCCGCGGUAAUACCAGCACCCCGAGUGGUCGGGACGAUUAUUGGGCCUAAAGCAUCCGUAGCCGGUUUUACAAGUCCUCCGUUAAAUCCAGCUGCUUAACAGAUGGGCUGCGGAGGAUACUAUAAGACUAGGAGGCAGGAGAGGCAAGCGGUACUCAGUGGGUAGGGGUAAAAUCCGUUGAUCCAUUGAAGACCACCAGUGGCGAAGGCGGCUUGCCAGAAUGCGCUCGACGGUGAGGGAUGAAAGCUGGGGGAGCAAACCGGAUUAGAUACCCGGGUAGUCCCAGCUGUAAACGAUGCAGACUCGGUGAUGGACUAGCUUUAUGCUAGUCCAGUGCCGCAGGGAAGCCGUUAAGUCUGCCGCCUGGGUAGUACGGUCGCAAGACUGAAACUUAAAGGAAUUGGCGGGGGAGCC
RNAcentral lists this ribosomal RNA (868 nucleotides) under uncultured archaeon. Its description in RNAcentral is "bacterial SSU rRNA". It matches the Rfam family "Archaeal small subunit ribosomal RNA", at positions 1 to 878 of the family's 1478-position model. The record is from RNAcentral.